CCUACGGGUGGCAGCAGUGGGGAAUAUUGGGCAAUGGAGGCAACUCUGACCCAGCAACGCCGCGUGAAUGAUGAAGGUCUUCGGAUUGUAAAGUUCUGUGAUGGGGGAUGAACAAAAUGACGGUACCCCAAUAGCAAGCCACGGCUAACUACGUGCCAGCAGCCGCGGUAAUACGUAGGAGGCGAGCGUUAUCCGGAAUGACUGGGCGUAAAGGGUGCGUAGGUGGUUUGGCAAGUUAGUAGCGUAACUCCAAGGCUCAACCUUGGAACUACUACUAAAACUGUUGGACUUGAGUGCAGGAGGGGCAACCGGAAUUCCUAGUGUAGCGGUGGAAUGCGUAGAUAUUAGGAGGAACACCAGUGGCGAAGGCGGGUUGCUAGACUGUAACUGACACUGAGGCACGAAAGCGUGGGGAGCAAACAGGAUUAGAUACCCGUGUAGUC
RNAcentral lists this ribosomal RNA (443 nucleotides) under uncultured bacterium. RNAcentral's name for it is "partial 16S ribosomal RNA". It matches the Rfam family "Bacterial small subunit ribosomal RNA", at positions 338 to 795 of the family's 1533-position model. The record is from RNAcentral.